RNAcentral lists this transfer RNA (73 nucleotides) under Trichuris muris. RNAcentral's name for it is "snRNA TMUE_0100000094". It matches the Rfam family "tRNA". From Rfam's summary of the family: Transfer RNA (tRNA) molecules are approximately 80 nucleotides in length. The record is from RNAcentral. Lineage: Eukaryota; Metazoa; Nematoda; Enoplea; Trichinellida; Trichuridae.
GCCUCGACAGCUCUGUAGGGAGAGCGUUAGACUGAAGAUCUAAAUAUCGCAGGUUCGAUCCCUGGUCGAGGCA